UGCCAGCCGCCGCGGUAACACGGGGGGCGCAAGCGUUAUUCGGAAUUAUUGGGCGUAAAGGGCGCGCAGGCGGUCUUGUCCGUCAGGUGUGAAAGCCCUGGGCUCAACCUGGGAACUGCAGUUGAUACUGAUCGACUAGAGUACGAGAGAGGGAGGUAGAAUUCCAUGUGUGGCGGUGAAAUGCGUAGAUAUAUGGAGGAAUACCAGUGGCGAAGGCGGCCUCCUGGCUCGAUACUGACGCUGAGGUGCGAAAGCGUGGGGAGCAAACAGGAUUAGAUA
This 279-nucleotide ribosomal RNA is filed under the name uncultured bacterium. RNAcentral's name for it is "partial 16S ribosomal RNA". It matches the Rfam family "Bacterial small subunit ribosomal RNA", at positions 506 to 784 of the family's 1533-position model. The record is from RNAcentral.